GACUUAGCCUAGCUACCACCGAAGCCAUAGGCUACAUUAACUUAACCAUCCUACCAUAGUCACAAGGGAAAGCGAACCGCACUAAUACAAAUAUUUUUUGAAUGCUCCUUAGCCCAUGGACUUAGAGAGAGAGAAGGAAAUCAGGCCAAAGGGGGAGGGCAAUGCACAUUCUCUGACCGGAAUACAAUCCAAAGACCACUUAGAAUCAUAGAUCGAAAUAAUAAUUCUUACUUUAAGGAAGACGGGCAUAGGGACUGGACUGAUAGCGCGGGCUGGCCUACUCGAUGGCUUGUAUGAAAAUUAGACGAUUUAUCAAAAGUGAUAGAUUGGUAAAGUGUUCAUAGUAUGGGUAUGGAGGAAGCAGCCGAAGCGGAUGCCUAAAAAGAGGCCCCCUACUUCAAUGGAAAGGGGGGAAUCGCCGUUUCACAGCCACUUCUCUACAACUACCUUUCGCCUAUUAUCUGUAUAAUGGGGUUUGUCAUUUAUUGACAGAUUUUUCGGUAUUUAUCUUUCUAAGAACGGAUUUUUCGGGAUUUAUCUUGAUUUUUCUUAGAAUUGCAAUUUAUUUAAUUUAGUAGUCGUACUU
RNAcentral lists this long non-coding RNA (586 nucleotides) under Gossypium barbadense (sea-island cotton). RNAcentral describes it as "long non-coding RNA (GBAR_LNC008385)". Lineage: Eukaryota; Viridiplantae; Streptophyta; Magnoliopsida; Malvales; Malvaceae. The record is from RNAcentral.